CCUACGGGAGGCAGCAGUGGGGAAUAUUGGACAAUGGGGGCAACCCUGAUCCAGCCAUGCCGCGUGUGUGAAGAAGGCCCUCGGGUUGUAAAGCACUUUCAGUGAGGAAGAACGCCUGGUGGUUAAUACCCAUCAGGAAAGACAUCACUCACAGAAGAAGCACCGGCUAACUCCGUGCCAGCAGCCGCGGUAAUACGGAGGGUGCGAGCGUUAAUCGGAAUUACUGGGCGUAAAGCGCGCGUAGGUGGCUUGAUAAGCCGGUUGUGAAAGCCCCGGGCUCAACCUGGGAACGGCAUCCGGAACUGUCGAGCUAGAGUGCAGGAGAGGAAGGUAGAAUCCCCGGUGUGGCGGUGAAAUGCGUAGAGAUCGGGAGGAAUACCAGUGGCGAAGGCGGCCUUCUGAACUGACACUGACACUGAGGUGCGAAAGCGUGGGUAGCAAACAGGAUUAGAGACCCUGGUAGUC
Molecule: ribosomal RNA, 465 nt
Filed under: Vreelandella stevensii
Lineage: Bacteria; Pseudomonadati; Pseudomonadota; Gammaproteobacteria; Oceanospirillales; Halomonadaceae
Description: partial 16S ribosomal RNA
Rfam family: Bacterial small subunit ribosomal RNA
Source: RNAcentral